UUUGGGCCAACCUCCCAUCCGUGUCUAUUGUACCCUGUUGCUUCGGCGGGCCCGCCGCUUGUCGGCCGCCGGGGGGGCGCCUCUGCCCCCCGGGCCCGUGCCCGCCGGAGACCCCAACACGAACACUGUCUGAAAGCGUGCAGUCUGAGUUGAUUGAAUGCAAUCAGUUAAAACUUUCAACAAUGGAUCUCUUGGUUCCGGCAUCGAUGAAGAACGCAGCGAAAUGCGAUAACUAAUGUGAAUUGCAGAAUUCAGUGAAUCAUCGAGUCUUUGAACGCACAUUGCGCCCCCUGGUAUUCCGGGGGGCAUGCCUGUCCGAGCGUCAUUGCUGCCCUCAAGCCCGGCUUGUGUGUUGGGUCGCCGUCCCCCUCUCCGGGGGGACGGGCCCGAAAGGCAGCGGCGGCACCGCGUCCGAUCCUCGAGCGUAUGGGGCUUUGUCACAUGCUCUGUAGGAUUGGCCGGCGCCUGCCGACGUUUUCCAACCAUUCUUUCCAGGUUGACCUCGGAUCAGGUAGGGAUACCCGCUGAACUUAAGCAUAUCAAUAAGCGGAGGAAUA
Molecule: ribosomal RNA, 557 nt
Filed under: Aspergillus niger
Lineage: Eukaryota; Fungi; Ascomycota; Eurotiomycetes; Eurotiales; Aspergillaceae
Description: eukaryotic LSU rRNA
Rfam family: 5.8S ribosomal RNA (bases 172-325)
Source: RNAcentral